CUUAUCUCCAUCUCCUGAGCUAUAGCACCCAAUCAAAGCUUUCUUCCCUAGCAACACUCAUUGUCUCAGUGAUUGGCUUUCUGUGUGGCACGCAACUGGACCUAGACAAACCUCUGGCAUUUUGGUACACCUAGGCUGCUAACUGGGGGCAGCAGGUCAAUGUCCCCAUUUACCAACCCAAGCAAGUAAGCCCACCUGAGCCACAGAACCUUCUCCCUCCCUACAAAAGGCUCAGGAGUAGGAGGCACCAGGGAAAAAAGAAAAGAAAAAUGACAUCAUGAAACCACUGGAAGUCACAAUUUAGAGAAUAAUCACAGACCACAAGUCAAGCCAGGAAAAAUAACUGCCUAGUUAAAAAAAAAAAAAAAAAGUCUUUUUCUAAAAAGAAGAGGGGAAGAGGAGGAGGGGACCAUGCAGCGUUAUGACAGCCAAUAUGAGUGCAGGUAAUUUCAAAUACUUUCAGACCAUUCACCUUGUCAGCAGCUCACUUCACAUUCAGGUUACAUUUCUCUGUAGUCUGAUGAGAGAAAUGACAGAGUUUAUCUCAUGAUACCUCAUUCUGUACUAUAGGGCAUUUUACAAGGUCAAUGAUAAUAAAAUUUUCCCUAGUAAUACGCCCUUUAAUCUUACUUAUCCACGACAUCCAAAAUCAAUAUGAAAUAAAGAAUUCUGCUACAUGAAAACACUUAACCUGAGAACAGGUUGUAUCUAAAUGACUCAUUGUUAAUCUAUCAAUAUUAUCCUAAUCUGAUUGUAUUUGGAUUUACUAUUUUGGUCCCUGACAUCUCUUGUAAGCCUCCAAAUUCUAGUUUUCCAGAAAUGAGAAGCUAGCUCGAGAUAUAGCUCUAUUUCCCCACUUAUUUUUCCAGCCUUACCUCCUAAACCAGGCUGAAAUUCUAUGUUCUUCUUUUCACUUCUAUCGAUGAGAUCACAUCAUCAAUGUUUUUAACUAUUCACGUAUAAUGUUCUAUUUAUGAGAUUGCAAGACACUAUAGAAAUGUAACCACUCCUAGAUUCAGAGAAAUAUAUCUCGUAAGAAUGUCGAAUAUGAAUUUUUUAGCAAAAAGCAUAUGUCUAGCAUAACAAGACAGCAAUCUUUGUGUUUCUCCUCUUUCUUGGUCUCUCAGGUUGACUACCUGAGCUUCGAUACCCCAUUGCUACAACGGUUCCGCACCUUUUAAAGUCAGAGCCAGUAUGAACACAUUUUAGCUGGCCCCACCAUACAAUUCAACACAUAAUUGACCUCUUAUAGAAAGUGAGGCAAAAACAAUGUCAAAUAGUAAGGUCUUUGCCCCCCAGAAAGUUUAUCUGGUGGGG
Molecule: long non-coding RNA, 1317 nt
Filed under: Homo sapiens (human)
Lineage: Eukaryota; Metazoa; Chordata; Mammalia; Primates; Hominidae
Description: HSALNT0198875
Source: RNAcentral